Molecule: ribosomal RNA, 774 nt
Filed under: uncultured Neocallimastigales
Lineage: Eukaryota; Fungi; Neocallimastigomycota; Neocallimastigomycetes; Neocallimastigales
Description: partial large subunit ribosomal RNA
Rfam family: Eukaryotic large subunit ribosomal RNA
Source: RNAcentral
AGAGAGAGACAUGCGCGCAUAUCAAUAAGCGGAGGAAAAGUAACUAACAAGGAUUCCCCUAGUAACGGCGAGUGAAGCGGGAAGAGCUCAAAUUUGAAAUCUUAAAGGGUUUCCCUUUACGAAUUGUAGUUUAAAGAAGUGUUUUCUGUUGAGGUUUUGGUAAAAGUUCUUUGGAAUAGGACAUCAUAGAGGGUGAGAAUCCCGUAUUUGACCUUUACUUUCAACUUUGUGAUACACUUUCAAAGAGUCGGAUUGUUUGGGAAUGCAGUCCGAAAUGGGUGGUAAAUUUCAUCUAAAGCUAAAUAUUGACGAGAGACCGAUAGCGAACAAGUACCGUGAGGGAAAGAUGAAAAGAACUUUGAAAAGAGAGUUAAACAGUACGUGAAAUUGUCAAAAGGGAAGCGUUUGACACCAGUGUUGUUUUUCUGAAAAUCAAUUAAAGAACUGUUUAUGCUAAGUUGUUUAGACUUUAUCAGCUAACUGUUUAGUUUUGAGCUUUUCUUUAAUGCACUUUUCAGUUAACAAGUCAACAUCAAUUUCUUUUGCUGUAAAAAAGCUUGAGGAAGGUGGCUUGAGAUUCGUCUUAAGUGUUUAUAGCCUCUUGCCUAUGCAGUCGGAGAGAUUGAGGUCUGCAGCGUAGAUCCUUCGGGGCUAAAUGCAUUUGUGCUAAGUUAUAGCAUUUUAUAGACAACUUGUUGACUAUGAUUUGUCUUGUAGCUUACUCGCUUAUGUUAUUUUACCUACGCUUAGGAUGUUGACGCAUGAGAUAUACGC